RNAcentral lists this long non-coding RNA (1575 nucleotides) under Equus asinus (donkey). RNAcentral describes it as "lncRNA (ENSEASG00005030544.1)". Lineage: Eukaryota; Metazoa; Chordata; Mammalia; Perissodactyla; Equidae. The record is from RNAcentral.
UUUUUUUUUUUUUUUGGAGGAAGAUUAGCCCUCAGCUAACUACUGCCAGUCCUCCUCUUUUUGCUGAGGAAGCCUGGCUCUGAGCUCACAUCCGUGCCCAUCUUCCUCUAGUUUAUACGUGGGACGCCUACCACAGCAUGGCUGCCAAACAGUGCCAUGUCCGCACCCAGGAUCCGAACCAGCGAACCCCGGGCCGCCGAGAAGCGGAACGUGCGGACUUAACCGCUGCGCCACCGGGCCGGCCCCUAGGCCUUGAGGAUUCAGUGAUGAACGAGGCCAUUUGAGGACACAGAGAGAAAAUAGCUAUCUACAAGCCAGGAAGAGAGCCUUCACCAGAAACAACCCUGAUAGCGUCUUCAUUUCGGACUUCUGGCCUCCAGAACUACGAGAAAAUGCACUUCUGUUGUUUAAGCAACCCGGACUGUGGUAUUUUGCUGUGGCAGCCCUAGGAGACACAUGCAUCCAACUCCCACACAAAGACCCACAUACAAGGAGGAGAGGGUUUUAUCUGAACAAAAAUAAGAUCAUGUUAAGCCCACAUUACUCUGAAAGUAGCCUAUCUUAUUGACACUACUUAAUGGCCGCCUGGCUCCUGGCUCAUGCUAUAUCCCACUCCAUUAGGACAUCCUGCAGGCCCCCACCCACAACCCCUUAAAAUGUCUCCAGAAUCCAAUCCCUUCUCCCCACCUCACUGUUUCCACCUUGGCGUAAGCUCCAGCCUCUCUCUCGCUGCAGCAGCCUCUUCACUCUUCUCUGCUUCCAUUCUUCCCUCCUUCAGUCUGUUCUCCUCACAGAAGCCAGAAGGAUCCUUUAAAAGUUGAAAUUAGGUCACGCUGCUCCUCAGCUCAAAACCCUCCAGUGGCUUCCCAUCCUAUGCAGAGUAAAGACCAAAGUCCUCACCAGGGGCUACAAGGCCCUACAUAGUCUGCACCAUAUGCACACGCAUGCACACACAUGCACACACACACACACCCAACUCUACUGCUCCCCUCUCUGAUCUCAGCUCUUACCCCUGUCCCCGACCACCCUGGCCUCCUUGAUGUUUCUAUAUCCCACCUAGCACACUCCCAAACCAGGGGCUUUGCACCUGCUGUUUCCUCGGUCUCGACUGCCUUUCCUCCUCUUAGCCACAAAGUUCCUUCCCUCAUUUCCUUCUAGACUCUGUCUCCCAAGCCACCUUUAUUCUUCUUCCUGGCACUUACCACCAUCUGGCAUUCUACGUAUUUAUUUGUGUAGAAUAUUUAUUUAUUCUACAUAUUUAUUUAUUUAUGGUCUUUCUCCAUCAAGAUGAGAAUUUCAGGAGCAACAAACCUGUCUUGUUCCCUGCUAAAUCCCUAGUACUUAGAACAGUGCCAGGUUCAUGGUUGAUGCUCAGUAAAUGUUUAAGGAAUGAAAGAAUGAAUAAAUCUCUCCAAGUCAGUAGAUAUAACAACCUUUCAACUGUUGCAUGCAUUUGCUAAUGCGGAUGGAUCAGAUUCAUUUAACCAUCCUCCUAUUAAUCAUGUUUAAGUUAUUUCCAUUUCUUUCUACUUUAAAAAAUGUUUGUGAUAAACAUUUUUGCACGCUCUAGUAUAG